RNAcentral lists this ribosomal RNA (251 nucleotides) under uncultured prokaryote. Its description in RNAcentral is "partial 16S rRNA". It matches the Rfam family "Bacterial small subunit ribosomal RNA", at positions 525 to 775 of the family's 1533-position model. The record is from RNAcentral.
ACGUAGGUGGCGAGCGUUGUCCGGAUUUACUGGGUGUAAAGGGCGAGUAGGCGGGAUUGCAAGUCAGAUGUGAAAUCUGUCGGCUUAACUGACAGCGUGCAUUUGAAACUGCUGGUCUUGAGUGUUGGAAAGGCAGGCGGAAUGUGUAAUGUAGCGGUGAAAUGCGUAGAUAUUAGGAGGAACACCAGUGGCGUAGGCAGCCUACUGGGCAGUCACUGACGCUGAGGCGCGAAAGCGUGGGGAGCGAACAG